This 256-nucleotide ribosomal RNA is filed under the name uncultured bacterium. RNAcentral describes it as "partial 16S ribosomal RNA". It matches the Rfam family "Bacterial small subunit ribosomal RNA", at positions 335 to 590 of the family's 1533-position model. The record is from RNAcentral.
ACUCCUACGGGAGGCAGCAGUGGGGAAUUUUGGACAAUGGGGGGAACCCUGAUCCAGCGAUGCCGUGUGUGUGAAGAAGGCCUGCGGGUUGUAAAGCACUUUCAUUGGAGAGGAAGUAAUGACGCAAGUUGUUAUUGACGUUACCCAAAGAAGAAGCACCGGCUAACUCUGUGCCAGCAGCCGCGGUAAUACAGAGGGUGCAAGCGUUAAUCGGAAUUACUGGGCGUAAAGCGCGCGUAGGUUGAAAAGGGCAGUG